This 67-nucleotide transfer RNA is filed under the name Metidiocerus sp. ZB-2019. RNAcentral describes it as "tRNA-Val". Lineage: Eukaryota; Metazoa; Arthropoda; Insecta; Hemiptera; Cicadellidae. The record is from RNAcentral.
CAGACUGUAGCUUAUCAAUUAAAGCUUAUUUUUUACGUUAAUAUGAAAAUGUAUUUAUUCUGUCUGA